Molecule: ribosomal RNA, 510 nt
Filed under: uncultured bacterium
Lineage: Bacteria
Description: bacterial SSU rRNA
Rfam family: Bacterial small subunit ribosomal RNA
Source: RNAcentral
GACGAACGCUGGCGGCGUGCCUAAUACAUGCAAGUCGAACGCACUCUCGUUUAGAUUGAAGGAGCUUGCUCCUGAUUGAUAAACAUUUGAGUGAGUGGCGGACGGGUGAGUAACACGUGGGUAACCUGCCCUAAAGUGGGGGAUAACAUUUGGAAACAGAUGCUAAUACCGCAUAAAACCUAACACCGCAUGGUGUAGGGUUGAAAGAUGGUUUCGGCUAUCACUUUAGGAUGGACCCGCGGUGCAUUAGUUAGUUGGUGAGGUAAAGGCUCACCAAGACCGUGAUGCAUAGCCGACCUGAGGGGGUAAUCGGCCACACUGGGACUGAGACACGGCCCAGACUCCUACGGGAGGCAGCAGUAGGGAAUCUUCCACAAUGGACGAAAGUCUGAUGGAGCAAACGCCGCGUGAGUGAAGAAGGUUUUCGGAUCGUAAGACUCUGUUGUUGGAGAAGAAUGUAUCUGAUAGUAACUGAUCAGGUAGUGACGGUAUCCAACCAGAAAGCCACGG